CGCGUAGGCGGCGGACCUUGUCGAGUGUGAAAGCCCCGGGCUCAACCUGGGAGGUGCGCUCGAGACGGGUUUGCUGGAGUUCGGGAGAGGAGAGUGGAAUUCCCAGUGUAGAGGUGAAAUUCGUAGAUAUUGGGAAGAACACCGAUGGCGAAGGCGGCUCUCUGGACCGAGACUGACGCUGAGGCGCGAAAGCAUGGGGAGCAAACAGGAUUAGAUACCCUGGUAGUCCACGCUAGUAAACGAUGUGUGCUAGACGUUGGGGAGCGUAGCUCUUCGGUGUCGCCGCAAACGUCUUUAAGCACACCGCCGUGGGGAGUACGGCCGCAAAGGUUAAA
RNAcentral lists this ribosomal RNA (335 nucleotides) under uncultured bacterium. RNAcentral describes it as "bacterial SSU rRNA". It matches the Rfam family "Bacterial small subunit ribosomal RNA", at positions 568 to 898 of the family's 1533-position model. The record is from RNAcentral.